UGAUUAGACUUUAUCAAGGUCCUUGUGCGC
Molecule: non-coding RNA, 30 nt
Filed under: Rattus norvegicus (Norway rat)
Lineage: Eukaryota; Metazoa; Chordata; Mammalia; Rodentia; Muridae
Source: RNAcentral